CCUACGGGAGGCAGCAGUGAGGAAUAAGCCACGGAUAACUACGUGCCAGCAGCCGCGGUAAUACGUAGGUGGCAAGGGUUAUCCGGAUUUACUGGGUGUAAAGGGCGUGUAGGCGGGGACGCAAGUCAGAUGUGAAAACCAUGGGCUCAACCUGUGGCCGGCAUUUGAAACUGUGUUUCUUGAGUACUGGAGAGGCAGACGGAAUUCCUAGUGUAGCGGUGAAAUGCGUAGAUAUUAGGAGGAACACCAGUGGCGAAGGCGGUCUGCUGGACAGCAACUGACGCUGAGGCGCGAAAGCGUGGGGAGCAAACAGGAUUAGAUACCCUAGUAGUC
This 333-nucleotide ribosomal RNA is filed under the name uncultured bacterium. Its description in RNAcentral is "partial 16S ribosomal RNA". It matches the Rfam family "Bacterial small subunit ribosomal RNA", at positions 462 to 795 of the family's 1533-position model. The record is from RNAcentral.